AUACUCACUAAAGCAUGUCUAAAAAAGUACUCUAACGCAAAUAAAUAAAUGCUACUAAAUCCGAAUUGAUAUCCAAAUCCGGGUAAAAUUCAUCCAAACCUCGACGAAAAAGCCAGGCAGAAUCACGAGGUAUCGUGAAAUUCCCAUCGCCCUCCUGCUCCUCGCCAAAUCGACGAGACGCCGACGAGAGAUCCGACUACCUCGCGCUCCGACACGCCAACGCGUAGAUCUGGUAGAAUAGGUGGCGGUGGGCUCGGACGUGCAGUGGUAGUCUCUUCUGCAGUGGCAGCGGCGGAGGAGACGGGGGAGCGAGCAGUCGCCGCGGCGUGGGUCUGUUGUGUGCUGGGACUCGGGUUCCGUGAAACCCUAGACGCCGCGGGAUGGCGUCGUAUAGGCCGUACGCGCCGCCGCCGCAGCAUCCGCCGCCGCCGCCGCCACCACCGCAGGGCGGCUAUCCGCCGCAGAUGAAUUCGUACGCGCCGCCGCCGCAGCAGGCGCCGUACAGCAGGAUGCCGGCGCCGACAUACCACGCGGGGCCUCCGCCACCACCGCCACCGGGGCCGCCGCCACCUCACCAACCGCAGUUCAAUUUCGGUCCCGGGCCUCCGCAGCAGCUCCCGCCCCCGCCCCCACCGCAGAUGUACUACCAGCCGCCGCCACCGCCCUACGGCGGGAACAGUAAUCCGCCUCCUCCACCUUCGGCGCCACCCCCGCCUCCGUCCCCACCCCCUGCGGCAUCGCCCCCGCCCCCUCCGCCUCCGGCACAGCCACCGUCUGCCCAUGCCCUGCUGCCCCCAAAGGGGCCACAGCCUAAGGCAACGCUGCUGAGAGCGGAGACGGAAGAGGAGCGUCGUGCGCGGAAGAAGCGCGAGUUUGAGAAGCAGCGGGUGGACGACCGCAAGCAGCACCAGAUGAUGCGCCAGACACAAGCCACCAUUCUGCAGAAGACACAGCAGGUUCGCACUGCUCAGCAGCAGCCGCAGAGCCGCCACCACCACCACCACCCUCCGGGUGGCUCUCGGGCAGGGGCAACUGGGUCUCGCCCAGCAACAGCGGUUAAUGCUGAGAGGUUUGAGAACCGGCUAAAAAAACCAACAACGUUCCUCUGCAAGCACAAAUUUAGGAAUGAACUCCCGGAUCCAAGUGCUCAGCUGAAAUGGCUGCCCCUGAAUAAGGAUAAGGACCGAUAUACCAAAUACAGGAUAACUUCAUUGGAGAAAAACUAUAUUCCUAAAAUGAUUGUCCCUGAGGAUAUUGGGAUACCUCUUGACCUACUUGACAUGAGUGUAUACAACCCCCCGGAUGUUCAGCCGCCCAUGGCUCCUGAAGAUGAAGAACUAUUGCGUGAUGAUCAGGUCCUCACCCCUAUUAAACAAGAAGGUACAAGGAAAAGGGAGAGGCCCACUGACAAAGGUGUUUCUUGGUUGGUCAAAACACAAUACAUAUCUCCACUAAGUGCUGAUGCAGCCAAAACGUCCCUUACUGAGAAGCAAGCAAAGGAAAGGCGGGAAUCAAGGGGGGGUCGCAAUGCUUUCCUAGACAAUCUUAAUGAUAGAGAGAAACAGAUCAAAGCCAUUGAAGAAUCCUUUAGAGCAGCCAAGUCAAGGCCUGUUCACCAGACUAAACGUGGGAUGCAAGCUGAGUGGGUUAUGCCUUUGCUACCUGAUUUUGAUAGGUACGAGGAGCCGUUUGUUAUGGUGAAUUUUGAUGGCGAUCCAACUGCUGAUUCUGAGCAGUACAACAAACUUGAGAGACCCGUACGUGAUGAAUGUGAAUCUCGGGCCGUGAUGAAAAGUUUUAGUGUAAGUGGUUCAGACCCUUCAAAACAAGAGAAGUUUUUGGCAUACAUGGCCCCAGCACCCCAUGAGCUUACCAGAGACUUGGAUGAUGAAAACGAUGACAUCCAGUAUUCCUGGCUAAGAGAAUAUCACUGGGAAGUAAGAGGAGAUGAUAAAGACGAUCCUACAACAUACCUUGUCACAUUUGAUAAGAAGGAUGGUGCAAAAUAUUUGGUUACGUCCUUCUCGCGACCCUCUGGCUGGGCCGUUGCAGAGUGGGCGGUGACGGCCCGCUAGUGAUGGGGGCUAGGGUUCAGGGAUUUUCUCGGCCGGGACCAUGUUUCGGUCUCUUCUUAAUAUAAUACCAGGAGGACGGUCUUUCCCUCUUCGGACGAGUAUUACAUUUGGUUUCUGUGAAUGGUUCAUUUCACAUUAGUGUAACAUAUGUCAUGAUCUUUAUUUCAGCCUCUUCCUACCAAGCUAGUUUUGCAGAAGAAAAAGGCAAAGGAGGGGAGGUCUGGAGAUGAAAUCGAACAUUUUCCAGUACCUUCCCGUAUCACUGUGAGUAAAACAGCUCAUGGUGGUACCAUGGAGCGCGGAGAAUCUUCUGGCAUGCAUGCGAAUUCAAAGCCACGAAGAUCUCAUGUUGAUGAUGAUCUUGAUGAGCAUCCAAAGCGUACUCGGGUAGAAGAUAUUGACCAAUAUAGUGAAGAAUAUUCUGAGUGAUGAACUGAUAAAUCAUAAUUAUCUUGCACCAACGAAUUUGAUCAGUACAUGUGAAGCCGUCAAGGCAUAAGUGGUUUUAUGGUGCAUGGUGAUGCAGUGAAAGAGAAUACCUGGCAGUGGGAGGACAUCAUGGCUUGGCCAGUUUCUUAAGGGCAGAGUAUGUGAAGCAAAGCUGAGUGUAACCAGACUUCAAGACUUUGAUCUCUGUAGUGAUCAUAGAAAGUAUCACAUUGUUGUAAAGAAGUUUUGCCUUUAAAGUCUUGGAGCGGUUCUCAACUGUUUGUUUUGAUAAUAUAUAGACCCCCCAUUUUGCAAA
This is an RNA transcript of Zea mays, 2820 nucleotides long. RefSeq lists it as uncharacterized. NCBI's taxonomy places the organism in Eukaryota, Viridiplantae, Streptophyta, Magnoliopsida, Poales, Poaceae. The transcript is spliced from 12 exons. The record is from RefSeq and is marked validated.